This 490-nucleotide ribosomal RNA is filed under the name uncultured bacterium. RNAcentral's name for it is "partial 16S ribosomal RNA". It matches the Rfam family "Bacterial small subunit ribosomal RNA", at positions 30 to 507 of the family's 1533-position model. The record is from RNAcentral.
AUUGAACGCUGGCGGCAUGCCUAACACAUGCAAGUCGAACGGCACCAUCGAGAAGCUUGCUUCUUGGGUGACGAGCGGCGGACGGGUGAGUAAUAUGUCGGAAAGUACCUAGUAAAGGGUGUUAACUAAUCGAAUGUUUACCUAAUACCGCAUAUUAUCCGACGUUAAAAGCGGGGGACCUUCGGUCCUUGUGUUAUUCGAGUGACCGAUAUCCGAUUAGCUAGUAGGUGGGGUAAAGGCUCACCAAGGCGGCGAUCACUAGCUGGUCUGAGAGGGUGACCCGCCACACUGGGACUGAGACACGGCCCAGACUCCUACGGGAGGCAGCAGUGGGGAAUUUUGCGCAAGGGGCGCAAGCCUGAUCCAGCCAUGCCGCGUGUCUGAAGAAGGCCUUCGGGUUGUAAAGUACUUUUGUCAGGGAAGAAGAGACUGUUGCUAAUACCGACAGCUGAUGACGGUACCUGAAGAAUAAGCACCGGCUAACUACGUG